GGUCUCCGUAGGUGAACCUGCGGAGGGAUCAUUACACAAAUAUGAAGGCGGGCUGGAACCUCUCGGGGUUACAGCCUUGCUGAAUUAUUCACCCUUGUCUUUUGCGUACUUCUUGUUUCCUUGGUGGGUUCGCCCACCACUAGGACAAACAUAAACCUUUUGUAAUUGCAAUCAGCGUCAGUAACAAAUUAAUAAUUACAACUUUCAACAACGGAUCUCUUGGUUCUGGCAUCGAUGAAGAACGCAGCGAAAUGCGAUAAGUAGUGUGAAUUGCAGAAUUCAGUGAAUCAUCGAAUCUUUGAACGCACACUGCGCCCUUUGGUAUUCCAAAGGGCAUGCCUGUUCGAGCGUCAUUUGUACCCUCAAGCUUUGCUUGGUGUUGGGCGUCUUGUCUCUAGCUUUGCUGGAGACUCGCCUUAAAGUAAUUGGCAGCCGGCCUACUGGUUUCGGAGCGCAGCACAAGUCGCACUCUCUAUCAGCAAAGGUCUAGCAUCCAUUAAGCCUUUUUUUCAACUUUUGACCUCGGAUCAGGUAGGGAUACCCGCUGAACUUAAGCA
This 557-nucleotide ribosomal RNA is filed under the name uncultured fungus. Its description in RNAcentral is "eukaryotic LSU rRNA". The stretch from base 200 to 353 matches the Rfam family "5.8S ribosomal RNA". The record is from RNAcentral. Lineage: Eukaryota; Fungi.